AGAAAUUUAGGUUAAUACCCAAACCAAAGACCUUCAAAGCCUUUAAUAGAAGUUAAAGUCUUCUAAUUUCUGUAGGGCUUGCAGACUAUU
RNAcentral lists this transfer RNA (90 nucleotides) under Blommersia blommersae (Ambrana Madagascar frog). Its description in RNAcentral is "tRNA-Trp". The stretch from base 1 to 72 matches the Rfam family "tRNA". From Rfam's summary of the family: Transfer RNA (tRNA) molecules are approximately 80 nucleotides in length. The record is from RNAcentral. Lineage: Eukaryota; Metazoa; Chordata; Amphibia; Anura; Mantellidae.